GUUGAACGCUGGCGGCAGGCCUAACACAUGCAAGUCGAGCGGAAACGAUCCUAGCUUGCUAGGAGGCGUCGAGCGGCGGACGGGUGAGUAGCGCGUGAGAAUCUACCCAUGAGUGGGGGACAACCUGGGGAAACUCGGGCUAAUACCGCAUACGCCCUACGGGGUAAAGCAGGGGACCUUCGGGCCUUGCGCUGAUGGAUGAGCUCGCGUCGGAUUAGCUUGUUGGUGAGGUAAAGGCUCACCAAGGCGACGAUCCGUAGCUGGUCUGAGAGGAUGAUCAGCCACACCGGGACUGAGACACGGCCCGGACUCCUACGGGAGGCAGCAGUGGGAAUCUUGGACAAUGGGGGCAACCCUGAUCCAGCCAUGCCGCGUGUGUGAAGAAGGCCUUCGGGUUGUAAAGCACUUUCAGCAGGGAGGAAGGCUUACCCCUAAUACGGGUGAGUACUUGACGUUACCUGCAGAAGAAGCACCGGCUAAUUUCGUG
RNAcentral lists this ribosomal RNA (487 nucleotides) under uncultured bacterium. RNAcentral's name for it is "bacterial SSU rRNA". It matches the Rfam family "Bacterial small subunit ribosomal RNA", at positions 28 to 507 of the family's 1533-position model. The record is from RNAcentral.